RNAcentral lists this long non-coding RNA (673 nucleotides) under Anser brachyrhynchus (Pink-footed goose). RNAcentral describes it as "lncRNA (ENSABRG00000017338.1)". The record is from RNAcentral. Lineage: Eukaryota; Metazoa; Chordata; Aves; Anseriformes; Anatidae.
UAGCAACAUGUUAGGGGAAAAAAAAAAAGAUACAGAGCUAUUGAAGACACAAAUGUGGGCUGCAAGCCAUCUCAUCCUGUGAUGAAAAUUAAUGAAGUUGCACAAGUAAAGAGACGAGAAACCAAGUGGCUGAUAGAAGGAUACACAAAGAACUAUACAGACCUAACAUGGAAAUAAUUGGACCAUUCAUCUAAACUCUACACCUGCAACCAAAAUGUCAGCUCAGCACCAUAUGGGUAAAGAAUUGUUGUCCCCAGGCAGUAGGACAGAAGUGAGAUAGCCUGCGAAGACUCUACAAACCUGUCUGUGAAGGAGAAAGGGAGCCUUGUUAUUCCUGUUGGAAGAAGAAGCUUCAGCUGUGCACCUGGCUGAGAAAAAAAAGCCAACUGAUCCAAAUGGAAGUGAUGCAGUAGGAAUCCGCCCUCCAUGUCCUGCCCAAAUUCUUUCUUCCAUCACCAUGGAUGGGAUAACUUUUGUCAUCCUCUUCCAAAGUGAGGGACAGUCUGUGCACUGAUGAAUUAAGGCAGACAGUGAGGCUGUGGGAGGCAUGUGUCAGGAAGAGCACAUCGUCAUCUGUGUUACAGCCUCUGAGACCCCAGCUGAGGAACAGAUGCAUACAUGUUCUUAACCUUACCUCAAUGAUCUGUUUAAGCUUCACUGUGCAAAUUAUAUU